GGUUUAGUAUUUAAACUAUAAAAUAUGAUUUGCACUCAUAAAUUGGCACCUCUGCCCUAAACCA
Non-coding RNA from Priapulus caudatus, 64 nucleotides. The record is from the annotation of a RefSeq genome assembly. Lineage: Eukaryota; Metazoa; Priapulida; Priapulimorpha; Priapulimorphida; Priapulidae.